GACGAUCCUACGGGAGGGCAGCAGGUGGGAAUAUUGCACAAUGGGGAAACCCUGAUGCAGCCAUGCCGCGUGUGUGAAGAAGGCCUUCGGGUUGUAAAGCACUUUCAGUAGGGAGGAAGGUAGUGUAGUUAACACCUGCACUAUUUGACGUUACCUACAGAAGAAGCACCGGCUAACUCCGUGCCAGCAGCCGCGGUAAUACGGAGGGUGCGAGCGUUAAUCGGAAUUACUGGGCGUAAAGCGCAUGCAGGCGGCCUGUUAAGUCAGAUGUGAAAGCCCGGGGCUUAACCUCGGAAUUGCAUUUGAAACUGGUAGGCUAGAGUCUUGUAGAGGGGGGUGAGAAUUUCAGGUGUAGCGGUGAAAUGCGUAGAGAUCUGAAGGAAUACCAGUGGCGAAGGCGGCCCCCU
This 407-nucleotide ribosomal RNA is filed under the name uncultured bacterium. Its description in RNAcentral is "bacterial SSU rRNA". It matches the Rfam family "Bacterial small subunit ribosomal RNA", at positions 334 to 730 of the family's 1533-position model. The record is from RNAcentral.